UUCAUUUAGUUUAGUGAUAUUUAUUAAAUGAUACGAAACUGCCUUAUUUUUUAAGCAUUUAAAGGUGAAAUGACAUGAUAAUACGUAGUAUUUAUGGCGAGACUCCUGAGGGCGCAGUGCCAGUCGAAGACAGGGGCCCCAACAGAGAGAAAUACGAAAAGUAUUUCGUCGAUCAAAGCAAGUUGGGGUGGCUGAGACGGCACCCUAGGAAAGCGAGCCAACAAUACGAAGGAUUGAAUAAAAAAGAAA
Molecule: non-coding RNA, 249 nt
Filed under: Staphylococcus lugdunensis
Lineage: Bacteria; Bacillati; Bacillota; Bacilli; Caryophanales; Staphylococcaceae
Description: S. aureus tsr24 small RNA
Rfam family: S. aureus tsr24 small RNA
Source: RNAcentral